GACGGAAGGUGCAAGCGUUGCUCGGAAUCACUGGGCGUAAAGGGUGCGUAGGCGGCCGUGCAAGUCUGGCGUGAAAGCCCCGGGCUCAGCCCGGGAAGUGUGCUCGAAACUGCGCGGCUCGAGUGCCGGAGGGGAGAGUGGAAUUCCUGGUGUAGCGGUGAAAUGCGUAGAUAUCAGGAGGAAUACCGGUGGCGAAAGCGACUCUCUGGACGGCAACUGACGCUGAGGAGCGAAAGUGUGGGGAGCGAACAGG
RNAcentral lists this ribosomal RNA (253 nucleotides) under uncultured bacterium. Its description in RNAcentral is "partial 16S ribosomal RNA". It matches the Rfam family "Bacterial small subunit ribosomal RNA", at positions 524 to 776 of the family's 1533-position model. The record is from RNAcentral.